RNAcentral lists this ribosomal RNA (1057 nucleotides) under Candidatus Microgenomatota. RNAcentral describes it as "bacterial SSU rRNA". It matches the Rfam family "Bacterial small subunit ribosomal RNA", at positions 28 to 1075 of the family's 1533-position model. The record is from RNAcentral.
GAUGAAUGCUAGCAGUGCGCCUGAGAUAUGCAAGUCGAGCGUUGCCUUGGAAAGAGCUUGCUCUUUUCGGGGAAGCGGCGGACGGCUGAGUAACACGUAGGUACUUACCCCUAGGUAGGGAAUAGCUCACCGAAAGGUGGGGUAAUGCCCUAUGGUCUCCAACUUUGUUGGAGUAAAAUCUUCGGACGCCAAGGGAGAGACCUGCGGCCUAUCAGGUAGUUGGUGUGAUAAUAGCGCACCAAGCCUACGACGGGUAGCUGGCCUCAUGAGGGUGGUCAGCCGGAGGGGGACUGAGACACGGCCCCCACUCCUACGGGAGGCAGCAAUCAGGAAUCGUCGGCAAUGGGGGAAACCCUGACCGCGCGACACUGCGUGUAGGAUGAAGUUCGAAAGAGCGUAAACUACUGUGGUAUAGGAAGAAGGCAUAACGUAAGUUAUGUUUGACGGUACUAUACUAGAAAGGGGCCGCUAACUGCGUGCCAGAAGCGUCGGUAAUACGUGGGCCCCAAGCAUUAUCCGGUUUAAUUGGGCGUAAAGGGUCGUGUAGGCGGAUAGGUAAGUUAUCUUUAAAAUUCAGAGGCUUAACCUCUGACCUGGGGGUAAUACUGCCAAUCUGGAGUUUUCUUUAGGGUAAGCGGAACUGAGUGAGGAGCAGUGAGAUGCGUUGAUACACUCGGGGACACCAGUGGCGAAGGCGGCUUACUGGAAGAAGACUGACGCUGAGACACGAAAGCUAGGGUAGCGGAGCAGAUUAGAGACCUGCGUAGUCCUAGCCCUAAACGAAUGUUCGCUAGCUGCAUUGGUCAACCCUUGUGGUUGAACAGUGUGGCGAAGGUAACCCGUUAAGCGAACCGCCUGGGGAGUACGGCCGCAAGGCUAAAACUCAAAGGAAUUGGCGGGGAGGCACACAACCAGUGGAACAUGUGGCUUAAUUCGAAACAAACCGAAGAACCUCACCAGGGUUUGACAUGCAACUGCAAGUCUUAUGAAAGUAGGACGCCUUAGAGGGUGUUGCACAGGUGCUGCGUGGCUGUCGUCAGUUCGUUCCGUGAGGAGU